UUUUCUAUAUAUAUUUAGAUGGUUGUUAUAAAUAGUUGUUGAUUGUAUUCAUAUUUCAUCGUAAUACUUUUAGUUUAUCAAGGAUGAAUAUCAAACCUUUUAUUGUCCUAUUAUUUCUUUGUGCACUAGUUCUUAUAAAUGUUGUCGCAAUUGAACCAUUCAAAGACGAGAAUCAAAUUGGUGUAAUAGAAGAAUCCAAAACAAGAAUUGAGAUAGAUUGGUUUUAUGGCAUUUUUUGUGGACCACAUGGGUACAUUUGGGGAUGGGGUAAAGAAUGGAAAAAGGAUAUAGAAGGUGGAAAAGGAGAACGGGCACGAGAAGAAUAUGAACACAAUGGAGGUGAAAAAAAUGAAGGAAUUGAAAGAGACCAAAAAAGUGAAAGAGACGCUGAAAAUGAAAACAAAGGUUGGUUAAGUUACUUUACUUUUUGUAAAGGAUGGGAGGGACGAUACUAGGUAAGAGCAAUUAGGGGCUCUGGCUGCACUCCAUAACAAUGAAAACCACCUACCAUUUUUAAUAAGAAAAUCAUUAGCCCAUGUAAAUGUGUAUAUAAUACAUAAUCGUUACGUGCGUUACUUAUCUACUAUCUACUAUAUAUAUUAAAGUAAGGUUAUUCUUAUUACAACAU
Long non-coding RNA from Medicago truncatula (barrel medic), 628 nucleotides. RefSeq lists it as uncharacterized. The transcript is spliced from 2 exons. The record is from RefSeq and is a predicted model, not a curated record. Lineage: Eukaryota; Viridiplantae; Streptophyta; Magnoliopsida; Fabales; Fabaceae.